Molecule: ribosomal RNA, 493 nt
Filed under: uncultured bacterium
Lineage: Bacteria
Description: partial 16S ribosomal RNA
Rfam family: Bacterial small subunit ribosomal RNA
Source: RNAcentral
AGUGAACGCUGGCGGUAGGCCUAACACAUGCAAGUCGAACGGCAGCACAGUAAGAGCUUGCUCUUACGGGUGGCGAGUGGCGGACGAGUGAGGAAUACAUCGGAAUCUACUUUUUCGUGGGGGAUAACGUAGGGAAACUUACGCUAAUACCGCAUACGACCUACGGGUGAAAGCAGGGGAUCUUCGGACCUUGCGCGAUUGAAUGAGCCGAUGUCGGAUUAGCUAGUUGGCGGGGUAAAGGCCCACCAAGGCGACGAUCCGUAGCUGGUCUGAGAGGAUGAUCAGCCACACUGGAACUGAGACACGGUCCAGACUCCUAUGGGAGGCAGCAGUGGGGAAUAUUGGACAAUGGGCGCAAGCCUGAUCCAGCCAUACCGCGUGGGUGAAGAAGGCCUUCGGGUUGUAAAGCCCUUUUGUUGGGAAAGAAAAUGCAGCAGGUUAAUACCCCGCUGUUCUGACGGUACCCAAAGAAUAAGCACCGGCUAACUUCGUG